Non-coding RNA from Acanthosepion pharaonis, 99 nucleotides. The record is from the annotation of a GenBank genome assembly. Lineage: Eukaryota; Metazoa; Mollusca; Cephalopoda; Sepiida; Sepiidae.
UUCUGAAGCACCAAUUCCUGUACGAUCACCGAAGUUAAGCAACGUCGAGUCUAAUCAGUACUUAGAUGGGUGGCCACGUGGGAAUACCAGGCGCAGUAA